This 478-nucleotide ribosomal RNA is filed under the name uncultured bacterium. Its description in RNAcentral is "partial 16S ribosomal RNA". It matches the Rfam family "Bacterial small subunit ribosomal RNA", at positions 28 to 507 of the family's 1533-position model. The record is from RNAcentral.
GAUGAACGCUGGCGGCGUGCCUAACACAUGCAAGUCGAACGGAGUCCAGCCUUUAAGACCUUCGGGUCAAAGAGGGGAAGGCUGAGUGGCGGACGGGUGAGUAACACGUGGGCAACCUGGCUCAUAGAGGGGGAUAACAGAGAGAAAUUUCUGUUAAUACCGCAUAAGCACACACUGCCGCAUGGCAGAGGGUGAAAAGAGAAUCGCUAUGAGAUGGACCCGCGUCUGAUUAGCCAGUUGGCAGGGUAAGAGCCUACCAAAGCGACGAUCAGUAGCCGAUCUGAGAGGAUGAACGGCCACAUUGGGACUGAGACACGGCCCAAACUCCUACGGGAGGCAGCAGUGGGGGAUAUUGCACAAUGGGGGGAACCCUGAUGCAGCGACGCCGCGUGAGUGAAGAAGUAUUUCGGUAUGUAAAGCUCUAUCAGCAGGGAAGAUAAUGACAGUACCUGAAUAAGAAGCCCCGGCUAACUACGUG